Molecule: unclassified non-coding RNA, 365 nt
Filed under: uncultured bacterium
Lineage: Bacteria
Description: contains 16S-23S intergenic spacer region
Source: RNAcentral
UCCCGGUUGGCCCGGGCAGUCUCGUUUGAAAAAUCCAACAAACGAUAAGGGUUGCGCUCGUUGCGGGACUUAACCCAACAUCUCACGACACGAGCUGACGACGGCCAUGCAGCACCUGUCACCAGGUUCCCGAAGGCACAGUCCUGUUUCCAGGACCUUCCUGGGAUGUCAAGCCUCGGUAAGGUUCUUCGCGUAGCUUCGAAUUAAACCACAUGCUCCACUGCUUGUGCGGAGCCCCGUCAAUUCCAUUUGAGUUUUAAGCUUGCGCUCGUACUCCCCAGGCGGGGUGCUUAACGCGUUAGCUUCUCAGCGCAAAGGGUCGAUACUUCACACUAAUAGCACCCAUCGUUUACGGCGUGGACUAC